GGGCUCGUAGUUCAGUGGCUAGAACGUCUCGUUGACGUCGAGAAGGUCACCGGUUCGAUUCCGGCCGGGCCCA
RNAcentral lists this transfer RNA (73 nucleotides) under Nanobdellota archaeon. RNAcentral describes it as "tRNA-Val". It matches the Rfam family "tRNA". From Rfam's summary of the family: Transfer RNA (tRNA) molecules are approximately 80 nucleotides in length. Their secondary structure includes four short double-helical elements and three loops (D, anti-codon, and T loops). The record is from RNAcentral. Lineage: Archaea; Nanobdellati; Nanobdellota.